AGCUUCUCUCGCCACCCCCUCCUCCCCCCCAGCGUCGAGCGGAAUAGGCUCGUGCUCGUCGCGCCAGCCUUUGUGUGAGAGCGCGCGGGCGCCACACACCGGGGGGGGAGGGGGCGCCGGGCAGGCCGAGUCGGACGGGCGUGAUGCGGCCGAUGGCUUUCUGGAUACCAUGAUCAGCAGUGGAUUUAAUAUUUUAUAUAUCCAGAUAUGUCUUGAUCUCUCUCCCAUAACUCAUUUUAAUGUGAGCAUGGAAGAAUAACCCAGCUAGAGGCUGCUUUUCAAGUCUCAUCCUCUCCAAGCCACAACAGGAACAUAUCUAGGCAGUGUGGUGGUGGCAGAGGCUGUUGGUGCCCUGGAUUUUUCCUCCACAUUCUUUGCCCAGAGUGAGGGUCUCUGUUUCUGACCAUGAUGAAAACUGAAGGCAAAGGGGAAAGGACUCUGAGAAGCGCUUCUCCACACAGAAAUACUUAUAAAUCUGAUUUCCAUGCCAUCAAGUGCUCCUUCGAUGGGGUGAACAUCCCUGAAAAUGCUUCCAACAAAGUGGGCCCCCAACAGAAGCUGAACACCACCUCCAGUGGAGGGGGGAAUGACCCACUUAGCCGCGGCAGAGCUGCCACCUACGGCAACAGAGUACACAAGAUCAAAAACAUGUUCCUGCAGAUGGGGGGCUCCUCUGUCACACCACUGUGUGAAAGUAGCUCCCCCACUGAGGCCAAGAUCAUCAGCAGGGCAGUACCAACCGAUCUUGUACCUUCUCCCAGCAGCCCAUCUUUCCACAGUGUCCAAAAAAAUAACCUCCUUAAUACCAGCCCCUGCUGCAGCCCUCUGGACCCACUGCCUGUGUCUUCCACGGGUGACAAAAUCAUCCGCAGCAAAGAUGACGGAGAUCUGGACAAAGCUGCCCUGGCAGAAAAGUUUUCUGAGACCAGGAAACUUUUCGAGAGGAACAUAAAGCAGCGGAGCUCGGUGGACAGAUAUUCUCCCAGCAGAUGUGAAAGAAGUGAAGAUAAGACGAGACGUGGUUCAGCCUCUCCUGACUGCAGCAGUGUGGUGGAUCAUUUUAAUUUCAAUUUCAAUAUAGAUGUGAUCCCUCAUCCAGCUCUGGAAAGAGCUGAAAGUCAAGGCAAUGAUGAGCACAGGCAGCAGCAUCUCAGUUGUGGCCCGAGAUCCUCCUCCUUGAAUGCAGGACCAAUUUCUAGGAGGCUGGAAAGUUUUCUUGGUGACAGUGACACUGAAGAAUCCAAAGAAAUUUACAAGAGUGAGAGUGCCCCAAGUCAAGGGUAUGUGCUCCCCUAUAGCUGUGAGUCACCUGCUGCUAUUCAAGGAUGCACAGAGGAGAGCCCAUGCCCCAAAGAACCUGUUUGUCUCAGUAGUAGCAGCAGGGAUGAGCUGAGCCAGUCACCUGAAGAAGUGCGUACAAGGGAGCAAGUGGCUCCUGGGUGGGGCCAGCUGGAUGUGAACAACACAUCUGAUAAGGAGGCCAAGAGGUUAGCGGACAGUGCCCCCCCACAGGUCUCCCAGGUAGAGAUGGUUCAGGCUGAACUGGUUGCGGUGCACAAAGAAACCUCAGGGAAUAAAGAAGAUACCUUGAGGAAAGAUAGUGUCUUUCAUGGGGAACAACCACUCAGGCACCAAACUGGGGAAGAGAACAAUCAUUCAUUUGGAGGACUGGAAGAGGUUACGGUAUGCAGUGAGCCCAGUCAGAAAGAAAUAAGAGUGGGGGUGUCUCUGAAGGAAGUUCUUAUCACACAGGUUCCGGACAAUCUAGAACAGGAGGGGGACAUUGAAGAGGAGGAGCAUAUGGUGGAAAAUCAGAGAGAGAAGUUCAUUGCAUUUUCUGUCAGUGCUUUUGGAAUAGAGAAUGCAGGUUUUGAUGAUGACAGGGAUACAGAGUCUGAAAACCAGGGCCCUGAAGGUAAAGAAGCAUUGGAGGGGGAAGAGGAGUAUACCUAUGACAGUGAUUAUGAGGAGUUUCCUGGGCUAUCUGAAGAGGAAGAUCCUGAGCCAGACAGAAGAGUCAAGUUUUCAACAGCCCCUAUCAAGGUUUUCAGUACUUACUCAAAUGAAGAUUAUGAUAGACGUAAUGAAGAGGUUGACCCUGUGGCAGCAUCAGCAGAGUAUGAACUAGAGAAGAGGGUGGAAAAAAUGGAAGUAUUUCCUGUGGAAAUUGAAAAAGGUGACAGUGGCCUAGGCAUUAGUAUUAUUGGAAUGGGUGUUGGUGCAGAUCAGGGACUGGAAAAACUGGGAAUUUUUGUAAAAACAAUAACUGAAGGUGGAGCUGCUCAAAGAGAUGGUCGAAUCCAAGUAAAUGAUCAGAUUGUUGAGGUUGAUGGUAUAAGUUUAGUAGGAGUAACUCAGCUUUUUGCAGCCACUGUGCUAAAAAACACCAAAGGCAGUGUGAGGUUUCUAAUUGGAAGAGAGAAACCUGGGACUCAGAGUGAAGUAGCUCGUCUUAUCAGUGAGACGUUAGAGCAAGAGAGAUGCCUAUAUGAGCAGCACUAUGCCCAUGAUGAUACAGAACAGGAUGAUGAUUAUGAUGAUGAUGAUGAAGACGCUUUUGAGUCACAUUUACAUGGAAAGUCUGUGGAAGUCUUUUAUCUUCCUGAAAAUGAAGAUCUGAAUUUGCCAUUGGAUAUGGAUUCAGCACAGUUUCUUCUUAAAUUUAAAGAGCUACAAUUAAAGCAUGCAGUAACAACAGCUGAAGUUAACCAGCUAAAAGAGAGAUUAAAAACUACUGAAGCUGAAAAAGUUGAAUGGGAAUCAAGUAAAUCCCAGCUUCAGCAAACUUUAGAAGAGAGCAAAGAGAAAAUUAAGAAGUUGGAGACCUAUUGGUUAGAGGCACAAAGUUUAUGCAAGACCGUAAAUGAACAUCUUAAAGAAACUCAGGAACAGUAUGAUGCCCUGGAGAAGAAAUACAACAAGGCCAAGAAAUUACUUAAAGAUUAUCAACAGAAAGAAAUAGAAUUUAUGAAAAAAGAAGAGGAUCAUACAAGGGUUCUUGAAGAGAGGGACAAGAAGCAUGCAGCACAACUGAACAUAUUGCAAGAGGAGAUUUCAGAGCUUCAGAACAAAUUAAAGAUACAUGAGAGAAUACCUUGUAUGAUUGGCGAUAGCAUUUUGCUGGACACUGCCUCUCAAAGUACAGAAAAACUAAAUGAAUGCUCAGAGAUUAAAGAAGAAAAUACAAAAGAAAUAGAGCCAUCAGCAGUGGAAAAAUUAGUUUCUUCAGAUACCGAUUUUGAUACUUUUAUGGGGGAUACUCCAAGAUUAGAUACUAGUGCCCACAAAGCAAAAGCUCAGCUUGCUCUGAAAGUAAAACGUCAGCCACCUUCUCGAUCAAAGCUAAAAGAAUCUCUUGAAACUGGACAGCAGAAAUCAGAUCUACAGGAUGAGGAUACAGAGGAUGCUAUCCACAAUAGAGAAAUUGGUACAGCACGUCAAGUCAAGUCUUUAGAAAUAACAGAAAAGCUAACUUUAUCCCAGUUGAAUGAUGCAGAUCAAAGGAUUGAAAAGCCUGAACCAGUGGAAAGCACAGAGAGUGUGUUAGAGUCAAGUCCUUCUGUUUCCACUCACUCUUCUCCAGUACACAAACCGAACAAUGAAAACAGCACAAGUACUACUCACUCUCCUCCUAGUGAUGAUAUAACUCCAAGUUCGCCUCAAUCAUAUUCCAAGAAUGUCAGGCAUAGAGAAUCAAAAGGGAAAGGAAGAGAGGCCAAAGAUGACAAGAGAAAUGAAGACAAGACAGCAGAAACAAAUGAUGGUACGUCAUCAGGAAAGGCCAAAAGGAGAUUUCCAGAUUUUGGAGGUUUACGGAAAUCUGGUGGUAAAGGCAAGAAACAAGAGAAGGAAAAUCCGAGGAGCUCUCUGGAUAGCCGAGGCUCCCGAGAGUUAUUGGAAGACUCUGGCAACAAUCAAUCUGCAUCAGAUUCAGACUCUCCUGUUCCUACUUGCAUACCUUUCUCUUGGUUUGGGGAUAGUCACAAAGAGCCUCAGGUUUCCGGUAGCAGCCUAACCUUUUCUCAGAGUGCACAGGCCACUGUAUUCGAACAGGGUCAAGAGAAAAACAGAACCAAGAGUAGAAUUGUCAUAGAUGAUUCAUACCAUAGCAGGCCAAGUUGUGAUCUGUCAGGGUUAGUGACAGAACCAAAUCUGUCAGGGCGUUCACACACUUUAACCUUCUCUUCAAAUGAGGCAUUAGAUGAUGAAUGUGCAGCAACAGGAAAACAAAAUCAGUGGCACAGUAGACCAAUUUCAGAGUGGACAACCCAACAGGUAUGCCAUUGGUUGAUGGGGAUGAACAUGGAGCAAUACAUUGCAGAGUUUACCGCCAAGAAUAUAGAUGGACAGCAGUUAAUGCUGCUUGACAGUGAUAAGUUGAAGGCUCUGGGGGUUUCCAGCCAAAAUGACCGAGCCACAAUAAAGAAGAAAAUUAAGGAUAUUAAAAAAACACAAGAAAAACUGGAAAAACAGAAAGACAAAGUUCAAAAGAAGGAAAGAGAAGUUCGCAAGAGUGGCAGAGUGGUAGCCGCUGUAGAAUCAAGCUGUUAAAAUGAUUUAGUUUUAUUUUAGCACAGACUUACUUCAUCUUGAAGAAGUGCAACAAAAUUGUAUAUAAUUGUACAAUUGAGGAGGUAAAGUGCAACAGUUUAACAUGGACCUAAGUUCAAAGUCCUGUACUCGCCUAGAAACAGAUUACAGUAACUCUACAACAGUUCAAGAAAUGUCGCUCCUUGUUCUCUCCUUCGGCGCUUGAAGAAACAGAAUUUCAAACUCAAAUUUUGAAAGGCACUUUUAACACCAGAAUUGCUAGACUACUCAUUUAUCUCCAAAACACGUAGUAGUGCAAAGAUACAGGUAAUUUCUGCCUUCCCAACUAUCAACCAUAUUCAAGAGGACAAAGUAAAAAAGGCUUAGAGACCAGAGGUGUGGCUCGUGAUGUCUCAACACGGGGACGUGGUGCAGUUGAAUACAUAUAGUUGAACAGUCCGUCAAUUUUCCUCAUAGGAACACCGCCACCACGGUCGCUUAUCUACAAAAUGAAUGAACACACUAUUAACUUUAGGUUCCUGUAUAUAAAAGAGAACAGAGAAACAAGCUGAUUUUCAUAAAGAAUAAAGUCCAAAGAAAGUCUGAAGACUAUACAAUCUCAAGUUGUCCUUAUUAAAUCAUCGCAUCAGACUUUAUAAAGAAAAUCAUCAGCUGAUAAAUCACAGCAAUAUUAUACACACAAAAUCCCAGCUGAGGUUAAUGACGUUUCCCAAAAUGCUGUCUCCAAAAGCACUGUCCACAAUUACACAGAAUUACUUAGGCUAUGUCUACACAGCCUGCAGCAGUGGGCCUCCCAACCCAGGUUGACAGACUCAGGCUCACACUACCGCACUAUAAAUAGCUGUGUAGAUGGUAAUUUGAAGUUACGGCUUAGGCUGGUGCUCAGGUUCUGAAGCCUAGGCUUCAGAGCAGGAACUGUCUACACUGAUAACUUUAGCACAGAGGCACAAGCCCGAAUUUUGACAUGGGUUGGGAGGUUCAUUGCUGCGGACUGUGUAGAUAUACCCUUAGAAGCCAUACACCCCACUUACACGUUUUGCACUGCUUUUUAAUUCCUUCUAAUUUCUAAUCUUCAUGUGGAGGAAGUUAGGUUCAGUAAAAGUAAGCAAUGGCCAUGUCAAUGGAAUCCUAAGGGUGCAAAGUUCUCAGUGCUUUAGCCAGCACUUUAGGAACAAAGAUGCUACAUAGCAGUGCAAUGUAUUAGUACUCAUUUACUACUAGAGCAAAUUUGAAGAUUUGUUUCUACUUAUGUGAAGACAAAUUCUAAGGAAAACCUAUACGCUGCAGCCAACCUUGAAAAUCCACCACUAAUCAUAUAAGAGAAAUGCUGCCCUUAAAAGAAAUAUCGGCAAGGCAAGGCCUACCAUAGGCAGGCUUAACCUGUGCUGGACUUACUUUAUUCCAAACCUGUUCUGCACCUCACUCAAGUAGUCACUUCCACCUGGUCUGGAUAAACUACAAAUCUGGCUAUCUUUCGUUCCUAAAUUGGCACUUUAUCCUUGAACAGGAGCAUGGUUUAUUUACAUUAUAGCUACAAAAAAUAAUAAAUAUGUUGAAAGGUUAAAGUGAUGUCACAAUCUCCCAUUCACAUGAGACUUGUGACAACUUUAUGAUGUUUCCACUCAUCACUGACCCAAGGCCUGAAAUCCCACAGAGGUCUUAUUCCGUGCACAAUACAUUAUCAGCAUUGGUACAAACUUUGUGUCACAUCACCCAUUCAUAAUAAAAUAUUCCCCGCAGGUUCUGAACUAACUAUUUUCCAUCAAACUAAUUAAGUAUCAAACAAAGCAGUUACCUUCACAGUUAAAUCCUCAUUGCCUAAUGUGACAUGUACUUGAAUUGGAGGGUAAACGCUUCGAUCAGUAUAGCGUUCCAUUGUGGCUCUCAUUGCAUUCUGAGAAAUAUUUAAAAUUAAAGUAAAAUAAGUAGUUUUAAUCAAAUCUUAGAUUUGAUUGUAACUUUUAAAUUGUGCUGUUAAAAUGUCAACUUAGGAAAACAGUUUUAUGUGUGCCCCUAUAUAGAUUGUAUUUCCAUUUUUGCUUCUUUGUACUUGUAUAAAGAUAUAAUAAACAUAUUUCUUCUUCAAAAA
Chelonia mydas (Green sea turtle) is the source of this 6640-nucleotide RNA transcript. It is a transcript of the gene named neurabin-1-like, with no coding region annotated. The transcript is spliced from 21 exons. Lineage: Eukaryota; Metazoa; Chordata; Testudines; Cheloniidae. The record is from RefSeq and is a predicted model, not a curated record.